GAUGAACGCUGGCGGCGUGCCUAAUACAUGCAAGUCGAGCGAACGGACGAGAAGCUUUCUUCUCUGAUGUUAUCGGCGGACGGGUGAGUAACACGUGGUUAACCUACCUAUAAGACUUGGAUAACUUCGGGAAACCGGAGCUAAUACCGGAUAAUAUUUUGAACCGCAUGGUUCAAAAGUGUAAGACGGUCUUGCUGUCACUUAUAGAUGGAUCCGCGCUGCAUUAGCUAGUUGGUAAGGUAACGGCUUACCAAGGCAACGAUGCAUAGCCGACCUCAGAGGGUGAGCGGCCACACGGGAAGUGAGACACGGUACAGACACCUACGGGAGGCAGCAGUAGGGAAUAGUCCGCAAUGGGCGAAAGCCUGACGGAGCAACGCCGAGUGAGAGAAGAAGGUCUACGGAUCGUAAAACUCUGUUAUUAGGGAAGAACAUAUGUGUAAGUAACAGUGCACAUAUUGACGGUACCUAAUCAGAAAGCAACGGCUAACUACGUG
This 497-nucleotide ribosomal RNA is filed under the name uncultured bacterium. Its description in RNAcentral is "partial 16S ribosomal RNA". It matches the Rfam family "Bacterial small subunit ribosomal RNA", at positions 28 to 507 of the family's 1533-position model. The record is from RNAcentral.